GAUGAACGCUGGCGGCGUGCCUAAUACAUGCAAGUCGAGCGAACAGACGAGGAGCUUGCUCCUCUGACGUUAGCGGCGGACGGGUGAGUAACACGUGGAUAACCUACCUAUAAGACUGGGAUAACUUCGGGAAACCGGAGCUAAUACCGGAUAAUAUAUUGAACCGCAUGGUUCAAUAGUGAAAGACGGUUUUGCUGUCACUUAUAGUUGGAUCCGCGCCGCAUUAGCUAGUUGGUAAGGUAACGGCUUACCAAGGCAACGAUGCGUAGCCGACCUGAGAGGGUGAUCGGCCACACUGGAACUGAGACACGGUCCAGACUCCUACGGGAGGCAGCAGUAGGGAAUCUUCCGCAAUGGGCGAAAGCCUGACGGAGCAACGCCGCGUGAGUGAUGAAGGUCUUCGGAUCGUAAAACUCUGUUAUUAGGGAAGAACAAAUGUGUAAGUAACUAUGCACGUCUUGACGGUACCUAAUCAGAAAGCCACGGCUAACUACGCG
RNAcentral lists this ribosomal RNA (497 nucleotides) under uncultured bacterium. RNAcentral's name for it is "partial 16S ribosomal RNA". It matches the Rfam family "Bacterial small subunit ribosomal RNA", at positions 28 to 507 of the family's 1533-position model. The record is from RNAcentral.